Molecule: ribosomal RNA, 253 nt
Filed under: uncultured prokaryote
Description: partial 16S ribosomal RNA
Rfam family: Bacterial small subunit ribosomal RNA
Source: RNAcentral
GACGUAGGAGGCGAGCGUUAUCCGGAUUCACUGGGCGUAAAGCGCAUGUAGGCGGCUGGGAAAGUCAGUUGUUAAAGCCCCUGGCUCAACUGGGGGAGGUCAACUGAGACUAAUCGGCUUGAGGGCAGCAGAGGCGCGUGGAACUCCCGGUGUAGCGGUGGAAUGCGUAGAGAUCGGGAAGAACACCAGUGGCGAAGGCGGCGCGCUGGGCUGCAACUGACGCUGAGAUGCGAAAGUGUGGGGAGCAAACGGG